GCCAGCUCGCAUGGUUCUGCACCUCCUAUAUCGGGCGAUAUUUUGCCUUCAGAUUCGAAGGACAGGAGGUCACUAAUGACCCCACAGUCGCAUGCAGCAGUGACCGCGGGCUCUUAGAUACAGUGCCGUGGUCAAGGACCCGCUUGGCUCGUGGUACCUCCGACUCGAUCGGAGGAUAGAGAGAUCAUCCAUAUCCAGAGCCACUCCACAUUUAGAGAGCCUUCUACAUCUCGUGUCGUUAAUAGGAUCAUACGUCGCUUGAUGUCGGG
Molecule: non-coding RNA, 269 nt
Organism: Elaeis guineensis (African oil palm)
Lineage: Eukaryota; Viridiplantae; Streptophyta; Magnoliopsida; Arecales; Arecaceae
Source: RefSeq, a predicted model, not a curated record